CCACACUCAGGUCGCGUGAUUCAUAAAAUAUUUGCAAUUAAUUGUUUCAUUAAAACAAGUUUCCGUAUAUACGCCUUAGCUUAAAUAACAUUUAAAAUAUAAGUUUAAGAAAGUGUCAUACUGUAUCUUUACACUUCUUUAAAUAUACAGUCAAUAAAUCCAUGAUCAUGUUUGCAUACUGGUAGGCAAUGAUCAUUAACAAUCAAUGCACUUACCUUAUUUGUAUUCGAAUUCGUUUUGAAUUCGAUGGAUAGGUGUCCGGAAUGUAAGUUGUGUAAUGUGCAUUAGUUGCCUUCUUUAAAUAUAAGACAAAUAACCAUAGUUCUGCUUAAACAGUCGCGUUUUCCUGCAAAUAAGAUUUUCUAAAGUUGAAUCAUGUUCUCACCUUAAGGUCCACUCAAGUGGACUAUCUUCGAUUUUUGGCGUAUGAUUUGGGAGCAAAAUGUCGGGAUUGUACCCAUGGUUACAAACCUAUUUAAGCAAUCACAGGUAAAGCUUUCGUGUUUGUGAUGUCAAGCGUUUGUUUCAAUGUUAUACCAGACACUAUAUUUUGGAUUACAUGUAAUAAAACAUGCCACGUAAUGAAAUAUAGAAGUUACUUGUCAUUGAUUUGUUAACAGAGAAAAUGCUUCCAGUACUGGCCAACAAGCACUACAAAUAACUGUCAGUAUGAAGAUUACAAAAUACAACUCAUCUCGGAAAACACAUAUGCAAACUUUGUUGUUCGCACGUUGCACUGCACAAUGACGGGUUCCACUAGAGAGCACACGGUCACUCAUUUACAAUUUACCGCGUGGCCCGACAAAGAUGUUCCGGACAUAGCUCUAUCUAUUUUGCAAUUUUUAGAGAAAGGUUCGCCAUGUUGAAAACCCAAACAGUGCACCCUGGAGUGUGCAUUGCAGGUUAACACGUAAUUGUUAACAUUAAAUAUAAUGAAAACACAUGGUGUCUAGCUUUGUGCCAUGUUAUUAUCAGACCGACACUUCUACGCACCAAAAUCACAUUAUGUUAUGUAACGUGCCUUUGUGUGGGCAUGUUUGAGACUUGUGAACCUGUCAACACGUCAUAAUGACAAAUAAGAUUCGCUUAAACUGCAAGUGUGUCUCCAUCUAUUUUCUUGUUACCUCAUCUGAUUUGUCGUUUUGCGUGUUGGCUGGUUUGGAGAGUACUAACACCCGAACGCGUCAGAGCGACAUAUUUAUACGCCAACGCGACACUUAUGGUAUGUGUCGUUCUUUCGUUUAAGGGGUUUUGCGCCAAUCCAUCAAGAUAUAGCAAAAAUCAGCCGCCAUAAUAGCAUACUGACGCUCAAUUCUUCAUAUUAACGUCCGAUUGUGUCAACGUGUAUGUAUGUUUUUUUUCUCUUCAGUUAUGGCGUAGGUAGAACGGGAACUUUAAUCGCACUUGAUUAUCUUUACGAUCAAGGAGUGGCAGAGAAACAGAUAAAUGUUUUUGACGCUGUACUUCUUCUUCGUCAACAAAGAAUAAAUAUGGUUCAGACCAAGGUUCAAUACAAUAAUCAAUUUUCACUAUUAAUAUUUCUUACAACCACAUGAUAUAUCGCGUGUAUAUAUCAAUAACAAACAAAUCCAAUUUAUUAAUAAUAGCAAUUAAAAUAUAUUACUUUCGGAAAACAACAGUAAUACACAUAUCAUUACAACGGUGUUCAACAUUGCAUCUAUAUGUAAUAUGUCAUGCAGAACCAGUACCUAUACCUUCACGAAGUAUUGUGCGACGCCAUUUGUUCAAUAGGCGAAGUGUCGACACCCAAGGAUUUUAUAAACAACAAACGCACAAAUGAAUCGCUGAACCAGGAAUAUCAGUUGAAUAUUAGAAUUAUGUUAACUUUUUCAUUCGAGAACGAUCGCGUGCGUGUUGACAUUUCAUAAUUGCAGUUUGCUAUCUUAUACUUCCAGUCGUGUAUUUUGGUGACAUCAUUACGCGAGAAAGUAUUGAUUUACGUUUCUAUCGAAAGUUUGCCAAUCCCACGUCCCUGAUCGGGUAGAAGCUGAAACAGGCGGUGAAUACAUGAUGGUCCUAGACGGAGAAAAACCCGACAAUGUGAAUACAAACGUUGACCCAUGCGUUGUCCCAGACAUUCCGAAAGAAAGAUCGAUUGAUACUUACCCAAAGUGCACGAGUGAGCUCUGAAAUUGAUUUUGUACGAUUGCUACACGACCACUUUAUUACAACGGUGGUGACCUUCUGUGACGAGGUGGAACCGUACAUGCCGAGCAGUAAUGAUAGCUGUUUGUUCGGACCAUUCACAGCCAGAACAAUUUCAGAAACUCAGAAACAGCAUUAUCAGGACUCCGUUGUGAAAUUUAAACAUAUUGCUGAGCACGAGAGUUUUGAAGUGAGAUUUAUCAGAUAUACACACUGGUCGAACGCAUUGGAUACCUAUAACAGCAGAUACCUUAUGAGCGUUUUAAUUGAUGUCCAAGAAAGUGUCUGUGAGAGACCAGUCAUACUUAAGUGUCGUGACGGAUACAGCCGGAGUGGAUUGUUUGCGGUUCUAUUGUGUCUGGUGGAGCGAAACAAGCAGGACGGGGAGGUGGUUGUGGCAAAAACAGUGAGGAUGAUCAGAAGACGGAGGAAUCAAGUAAGCACUAACGAGGCACAAUAUCAAUUUUGUCAUCAGUUCAUGAAAGAGUACAUCGAGGGAUGUCGGGUAUAUGCCAAUUCAUAAUGUACUUGAUACAAGAAUACAAUAAUCAAACUUCCUUGAUGGAAUGCAUUUGAGGAAGAUUUUAUUGACUUUAUUAUUUCAGAUACAUAUCGUUUAUCACUAUUAAAAUGAGUACAUGUUUUAAUGAUGUUUGAUAUUAUCAUGCUGUGUGCAUAUUGCUGUAUGGUUUAUGUAUGUAUUUAUAAAAUAUACACAUGAAUCCACGUACAAAAAAUUACAUCCUAACAUAUAAUGUAUAUUUUACAAUUGAUAAAUGCUUGCUCUAUCUAUGUUUGAUUAGAUUCAUGUCCGUAUUUUUUGUAUAUUGAAGCUUGUAAGUGUAGGUAGUUAAUGUCAUAAAAUGUCUUCCUCCAAUGUUAAAAUACAAUAAAGUAUUUUAUGAUGAAAUCACAUAUCCAUGUAAGAAUACCAUGUUCAAAUGAUGAAUGUGGAUGCUCAGUGGGUUAACAUAAGAGUGUGGUUAUUUUUUUGUUUUUUAAUAUUUCCAAGCUCUGUUCUCAUAGCUAAUUGUACAUAUGACGAAGAUAAAAGACAAGGGAAUGGUAGGACGAGAUCCUUUCGUAAUAAUGUAUAAGAAGUUUGUUAUUCCAUAUAUAUUUACCCAAUAUAUACCAUAAUGCGCAUAUGAUUUUUUAUGAGAUACUAGUAACUGUUUUGAACGUGAACAGGGUGAGCUUAAAGUUUACUUUCUGCACCAAAAUACAUUAAAUACUCCUCUAAAUCUAAGCGCCAAUACACAUGUAACAUCUUUAUAAUAAGAAAUCAAUGUAUGUGCAAAACCGGAAUGUUCCUUAUACGAUUUGACUGACGAUAGUAUUAUGGUUUGUAUUCACUUAUGAAUUAUUAUUGUUUGCAUGCCAUUUAUCAUAUUACAUGAACGUGAUAAUUACCUUUAUUAGUGCAACAUGUUACUGUUUAUUGUGAUGUUGUAAUAAGGACAACUGUGUAAUAAUUUUGCUAAUACCAAACGUUUCUUUAGAUUUUAAAAUAUUAUUUUCACAUGAAUCAUAAUUUGUUAUCAAUAUAAAAACAUUUCCCAAGGGCAAAAGAACGAAAAUGUAUAUCAAUAAAUUCCUGUUAAUGCAUUUGCAAAUCGGAUUUUCGGAUUAACAAUGUAUAAUAUUCUCGUUUUAUUAUGUUCGAUAGCUGUAUUUACAAAUUGAAGAUACCUUGAUUUGCAAACAUUACCUGAUAAUUGAAUUUGGUGAUUGGGUUGCCUUUGUUAUUAGCAAAUAAAUAAAUUUUUAACAAUAUGCCGAUCUCGUUCUAAAUGUUUUAAAAUGUAUCAACGCUAAAAGCAAGAAGCAUAACAAAACCAUCGAGUGAUUUGCAGUGAUAACACAUAAAAAUAAUAAGAAGGAGCCUGUAACACGACCUAUUAUUUAUCAUUUUCAUUUUUGAGAAAUGUAGACAAAGUCAUGGGCGCCCAAAAUUUUAAUUAUUUAAACAUCAUCAUGGAGUAAAUGUUUACGAUUAUCAAUAUUAAAAUUAUGUCAUUCCAUACUCGGUUAAGGAAAUGACAAACCAUCUUUAUAUUAAAUAAUCAAAAUAUUAUAGUUACCGUAGAAACUGUUUAGAGUA
This is an RNA transcript of Dreissena polymorpha, 4270 nucleotides long. RefSeq lists it as uncharacterized. The transcript has 7 exons. The record is from RefSeq and is a predicted model, not a curated record. Lineage: Eukaryota; Metazoa; Mollusca; Bivalvia; Myida; Dreissenidae.